Molecule: ribosomal RNA, 497 nt
Filed under: uncultured bacterium
Lineage: Bacteria
Description: partial 16S ribosomal RNA
Rfam family: Bacterial small subunit ribosomal RNA
Source: RNAcentral
GAUGAACGCUGGCGGCGUGCCUAAUACAUGCAAGUCGAGCGAACGGACGAGAAGCUUGCUUCUCUGAUGUUAGCGGCGGACGGGUGAGUAACACGUGGAUAACCUACCUAUAAGACUGGGAUAACUUCGGGAAACCGUAGCUAAUACCGGAUAAUAUUUUGAACCGCAUGGUUCAAAAGUGAAAGACGGUCUUGCUGUCACUUAUAGAUGAAUCCGCGCUGCAUUAGCUAGUUGGUAAGGUAACGGCUUACCAAGGCAACGAUGCAUAGCCGACCUGAGAGGGUGAUCGGCCACACUGGAACUGAGACACGGUCCAGACUCCUACGGGAGGCAGCAGUAGGGAAUCUUCCGCGAUGGGCGAAAGCCUGACGGAGCAACGCCGCGUGAGUGAUGAAGGUCUUCGGAUCGUAAAACUCUGUUAUUAGGGAAGAACAUAUGUGUAAGUAACUGUGCACAUCUUGACGGUACCUAAUCAGAAAGCCACGGCUAACUACGUG